AAGACAUUAGUAAAAUUAUUACAAGACCUUGUCAAGGCCUAAUCAUAAGUUAAAACCUUGUAUGUCUUA
This 69-nucleotide transfer RNA is filed under the name Salamandra salamandra (fire salamander). RNAcentral describes it as "tRNA-Asp". It matches the Rfam family "tRNA". Rfam says of the family: Transfer RNA (tRNA) molecules are approximately 80 nucleotides in length. Their secondary structure includes four short double-helical elements and three loops (D, anti-codon, and T loops). The record is from RNAcentral. Lineage: Eukaryota; Metazoa; Chordata; Amphibia; Caudata; Salamandridae. RNAcentral also lists the same sequence under 1 other name.